RNAcentral lists this ribosomal RNA (534 nucleotides) under uncultured bacterium. Its description in RNAcentral is "bacterial SSU rRNA". It matches the Rfam family "Bacterial small subunit ribosomal RNA", at positions 777 to 1316 of the family's 1533-position model. The record is from RNAcentral.
AAUAGAUACCCCGGUAGUCCACGCCGUAAACGAUGGAUACUAGCUGUUGGGCGCAAGUUCAGUGGCUAAGCGAAAGUGAUAAGUAUCCCACCUGGGGAGUACGAACGCAAGUUUGAAACUCAAAGGAAUUGACGGGGGCCCGCACAAGCGGUGGAGCAUGUGGUUUAAUUCGAUGAUACGCGAGGAACCUUACCAAGGCUUAAAUGCAGACUGACCGGUUUGGAAACAGACCUUUCGCAAGACGGUCUACAAGGUGCUGCAUGGUUGUCGUCAGCUCGUGCCGUGAGGUGUCAGGUUAAGUCCUAUAACGAGCGCAACCCCUGUUGUUAGUUGCCAGCGAGUCAUGUCGGGAACUCUAGCAAGACUGCCAGUGCAAACUGUGAGGAAGGUGGGGAUGACGUCAAAUCAUCACGGCCCUUACGCCUUGGGCUACACACGUGCUACAAUGGCCGGUACAGAGAGCAGCCACCCCGGCGAGGGGGUAGCGAAUCUAUAAACGCCGGUCACAGUUCGGAUCGGAGUCUGCAACUCGAC